GCGGAACUAUCUCAGGUAGGCUUCGGGAUGGAGGGAGCAGUUCUUCCUGCUUCUUGAUGGGGAAAGCAGAUAAAGGGUUUGGAACCACCCAGGGCCAGAGGGAAAGGAUUUGCCAAGAUUAGCGGCCACCAAGUAGAUGAAAAUGGAUCUCCCCAGCCCCUUACCCCUUGCCAGGGCCCUUUUCAUUCUAUUUUACUUAGAGCUUUAAAAAUAUGCCCAGUCAAGGAAGGGUGAAAUUCAGAAAGCAAUGAUUAAGGGUCAGUGCCUACUUUUGGAGAUAAGGAACCCAGCUAAACACCUUCAUAAUAAAAAUGGUUACGAGAUGUGUUGUCUAUACCAAUUGCUAUACACCAUUCCCCAGCACUGAUAUGUCAAAUACUCAGUAACUAGUAGACUCAGUCAGCUUCAACUCUUUGGGGCAGAUUCUCCCUAGUUCAUAAGUCAGAACAAGUUAUAAAUUCCUCCUCUGUUCAGUGUCUUUAAUGGACGCCCGUUGGCCUGGUGGUGAAGAAGGAACCUGCCUGCCUGCCUCUCUCGGAUGCCCAUCCAGGGAGAACAGCCGUCCCGUUUCUCAUCGGGUGGCUGCCCCACCCCGCACCCGUGCCAGCCCUGGCAGGUGUACUUGGCAGUUGCCUGUGCACGUGCACUCCACUCUCACUCACAGUCCUCUGUCGGAAGGCUUCUUUCUGAAAAGCUGCUUCUUAUCUCGCUUUGCUUUGAAACCUCUUCAAAGAGGAGUCCUGACCCAGGCAGUGCAGUGUGGGUGUAAGGUGGAGGUGUAGAAAAAGAGAAGAUGCAGGACGCAUAGCUUGUUGUCGGCAGCAAGGUGGGAAAUUCAUCUGAAAUGACAGAAAUCCUGGGUAAUGAAGAAUCUCUGAGGACUCAGGUGUCACAGCAGACUGCGAUUGGUAUGUGCACUUGAGCUAUGGCUUAAUAUCAAUACUUAGGCUCCCUUUUGAAUUGAAAAUGAGGCAAUUAGAAGUUACUGAGCCCCUUGUUUUGAAUUGCUGCUGGUCCCUUUGGGCUUUCCACAGCCCAGUUUUGUGCUUCUUAUUUUGAGAAGUCCCGUAGGUCGCCUUGCAAAUUUGAAAGUUCAUAAACUCUAUUUUGAAACGGGCUUCAUUCCAGAAGCAGGUUUUACUUUAUGAUUUUCCACUCCCUCUGGGGCUGCCUCCACAAAAAUGGCAAAACCCAAAGACUUCCUGAAGGCUAAUCUUUUUUCUGAGUCAUAUGAUUCUUUUCAGUUCUCAUCUGGAGAGGGUUCCUGAUAACAAUGGGUUUGGCUGUUGGUGAACUGGAGAAAAUCCUGUUGCUUUAGUGUUAACAAUGACUGGAAUUUUAGUGCCGUCUGGCUGUUUGCUUCAUGCAAAGGAAGCUGGCGCAGACUGGACUUGUGAGUGUCCAAUAGACUGUGUGGUAAAACCUUUGUCACCCCAACUGACUCAACAAACAGUUCUGAACGCAGAAACGCUGACCAGACCGUAGCGCACAAUUUGGUCAAUCUCGACUCAUAUCCAAAGAUUAAAGUGGAUUAAAAAGAUCCCAAGGAAUAAGUGGUUAAGUAUUAAAAACUCCAUGAAUCUGAAAAUUGAGGGGGGUGGAGAAAAAGAGGAAUCAGUGAAGUGAAGCAUUAGAAACACAAAACAAUGUGCAAUUAAUAAUACCUGUCUCAGAGGCAGGUUUAUUAGAAGGUGGAAACCACAGAAGAGCAAAUGAUCAAAGAAGACGCUGAAGGCCUCCACUCAUUACUCGCAUGCAUCGUGAAGUGUAAAACAAAUAGUGAUUAGAUUUCAGAGAUACUUUGCCUUCCAAUAUUUUUAAGCAUUUGGCUCUGUUGGGUAAGUGGUUUCCAAGUAUAAAUAGGAAUUCGCUUGAGCCUAAUGCAACUGAGUUUUUUGGCCAGACAUAGCCUUUCAGAUAUAACUUGGAUAAAUCACAGCCUUACAUUACACAGGUUUCUGGCUGAGCAGUAUUUAGGAGUUUAUGAGUCAAGUGCAAGACCUGGACUAGGAAUCAGGGAGCAAACUUCUGGCCUGCCUGAGCAGAUUGGAACAGGCUGGUUUAAUGCUGUGAGUCCCAGUUUCCUUAUUGACAAAUGAAAGUCUCAAUCCUCUACCUGUCUGCUUUCAAGGUUGUUGAGAAGGUACCAGAUGUCAUUCUGCACACAUAUGCACACACACAUGAAAGCACUUAUGAUCUACAAAGAGCAGGACCCAGCACCCUAUCCUUGGUCAGAAUAGAAGUAAUUCUAAUGCAUCGUGUUUAUGCCAUUAUUAUUAUCUUCAUUAUUCAAAUGAUGUCACUGAUGUCAUUAUGUCAAAAGACAUCAAUGCUAUAGGACAAGCAGGUAGAGAGCAAUGAAUCCCGAGUCUAAUUAGGUUUUGGGGUCCCAGAUUACAGGCUGCUAAGCACCAUUCUAGUAUGAGGGGAGGAAAUUGAAGUUGGACUUAAUCAGUAUGAGGUAGAAUCACCUUUUAAAACCUGAACACGAGCAUCAUAGUUUUCCUUAGAACAGCACUUCUGUGAGACAUUUGGAAAUGACCAAGGUGAAAGCUUGCAUACUGCAUACAGAUAGUCUGUUCAUUUAAAAAUAAUGAUUAGUACAAGUCCUGUGUGGUUUUUUUUUCUUGAAUAAAAAUUAGUUAAAGUCAGAUCA
This 2656-nucleotide long non-coding RNA is filed under the name Oryctolagus cuniculus (rabbit). Its description in RNAcentral is "lncRNA (ENSOCUG00000032266.1)". The record is from RNAcentral. Lineage: Eukaryota; Metazoa; Chordata; Mammalia; Lagomorpha; Leporidae.